RNAcentral lists this signal recognition particle RNA (265 nucleotides) under Clostridia bacterium. Its description in RNAcentral is "signal recognition particle sRNA large type". It matches the Rfam family "Bacterial large signal recognition particle RNA". From Rfam's summary of the family: The signal recognition particle (SRP) is a universally conserved ribonucleoprotein involved in the co-translational targeting of proteins to membranes. Archaeal SRP consists of a 7S RNA and homologues of the eukaryotic SRP19 and SRP54 proteins. In most bacteria, the SRP consists of a 4.5S RNA and the Ffh protein (a homologue of the eukaryotic SRP54 protein). The record is from RNAcentral. Lineage: Bacteria; Bacillati; Bacillota; Clostridia.
CCGUGCUAGAUGGGGUGGUAGCGGUACCCUGUAACCUGCAAUCCGCUGUAGCAGGAUGGAAUUCCAAAUUUAGGGUAGUCAGUGUAUGGUCUGACCUAGGCAAGUGGUGUUGAUAAUUGGGUCCUACGCAAUGAAACCUUGUGAACCUUGUCAGGUCCGGAAGGAAGCAGCAAUAAGCGAGUAGUUUUAUGUGCCGUGGGCAAGCCUGAUUUGAGCUAACGACCUAGGUAACGCGUGUAUUUUCUAAUCGACAUUUGGUGCACGG